RNAcentral lists this ribosomal RNA (822 nucleotides) under Triticum aestivum (bread wheat). RNAcentral's name for it is "partial small subunit ribosomal RNA". Lineage: Eukaryota; Viridiplantae; Streptophyta; Magnoliopsida; Poales; Poaceae. The record is from RNAcentral.
AUGGUGAAGAUACUGGAGAUCGGACUGGGGCGGCUCGACGCCGAGGAGGACGACGACUGCUGCGAGAUAGACCCCGCCGAGUUCGCCAAGAAGGUGAAUCGCAAAGCAUCAGAUGACGACGACGUGGUCGUCGUUGCGGCCAAAGGCCCGAUCAAAGUCAAGGUGGAAUUAGAUUGGUCGGAGCAUUCCGCAGAAACUUUGGAUGGACGCGCCAACAGUAAUGGCGGCCUGCAUGGACGCAUCGCUGGUGAUCGCUUGGAUAACCCUUUGAAGAUUGAAGAAGAUGAACCAACUAUCCAUCAGAUGGGGCCUCUUGAGGCCAAGCCUGAUGUCAAAAGCAUCCCUGGCGAGCCACUGCUGGUGAUGUCCGAUUCCGAAUUGCCCUUUGGGGGGCUCUUCGCUGACAUGUGCCCGGUGAAGAGCGAACUUGAAGAUGGCAACGGCGGCGCCGGUGCUGUGGGUGAACCCAUCAAGGAGGAAAUCAUCCCUGACAUGUCGCCGCUGAAAUGCGGGUCUGGAUGCUUUGAGGAGGACGUCAUUCCUGACUUGUCGCCAAUAACGCGCAACAGUGGCACUGAUGAACUCUUCAAGGAGAAAACCAUCCCUGACAAGCCACUGCUGAAGUCUGAAUCUAAAUACUUUGAGGAUGUUACUGUUCCUGUCAUGUCGCCAAUAAAGCAUGAUGAUCAUGGUGCCGAUGAGCGUGUUGGAGAAGAAGAUGGGUAUGACCAUCUCCCAGAGAUGGAUAGACUCAACCCUGAGGGAAGAGAUUUUGAUGAAGACGGUGACUACGUUGUCGUAGUAGCGAAAGAGGCUCUCUGA